GAUUUGGCUGUUGUGGUGUGCAAAACUUUGUGCCUUGCUUUUUGCCACACUGCAACACUUUACAGA
This 66-nucleotide microRNA precursor is filed under the name Haliaeetus albicilla (white-tailed eagle). RNAcentral's name for it is "mir-3064 microRNA precursor family". It matches the Rfam family "mir-3064 microRNA precursor family". Lineage: Eukaryota; Metazoa; Chordata; Aves; Accipitriformes; Accipitridae. The record is from Rfam by way of RNAcentral.